This 372-nucleotide ribosomal RNA is filed under the name uncultured organism. RNAcentral's name for it is "bacterial SSU rRNA". It matches the Rfam family "Bacterial small subunit ribosomal RNA", at positions 526 to 896 of the family's 1533-position model. The record is from RNAcentral.
CGUAGGGUGCGAGCGUUAAUCGGAAUUACUGGGCGUAAAGUGUGCGCAGGCGGCGCUGCAAGUCGAGUGUGAAAUCCCCGAGCUUAACUUGGGAAUUGCGCUCGAAACUACGGCGCUGGAGUAUGGCAGAGGAAGGUGGAAUUCCACGUGUAGCGGUGAAAUGCGUAGAGAUGUGGAGGAACACCGAUGGCGAAGGCAGCCUUCUGGGCCAAUACUGACGCUCAUGCACGAAAGCGUGGGGAGCAAACAGGAUUAGAUACCCUGGUAGUCCACGCCCUAAACGAUGAUGACUAGUUGUUGGAGGAGUUAAAUCCUUUAGUAACGCAGCUAACGCGUGAAGUCAUCCGCCUGGGGAGUACGGUCGCAAGAUUA